CUACGGGUGGCUCCAGUAGGGAAUAUUGCACAAUGGGCGAAAGCCUGAUGCAGCAACGCCGCGUGCGCGAUGAAGGCCUUCGGGUUGUAAAGCGCUUUUCUGAGGGAAGAGGAAGGACUGUACCUCAGGAAUAAGUCUCGGCUAACUACGUGCCAGCAGCCGCGGUAACACGUAGGAGGCAAGCGUUAUCCGGAUUUACUGGGCGUAAAGCGCGUGUAGGCGGUUUGGCAAGUCGGAUGUGAAAGCUCCUGGCUCAACUGGGAGAGGUCGUUCGAAACUGCCAGACUAGAGGACGGUAGAGGAAGAUGGAAUUCCCGGUGUAGUAGUGAAAUGCGUAGAUAUCGGGAGGAACACCAGUGGCGAAGGCGGUCUUCUGGGCCGUUCCUGACGCUGAGACGCGAAAGCAUGGGUAGCGAACGGGAUUAGAUACCCCCGUAGUC
RNAcentral lists this ribosomal RNA (440 nucleotides) under uncultured bacterium. Its description in RNAcentral is "partial 16S ribosomal RNA". It matches the Rfam family "Bacterial small subunit ribosomal RNA", at positions 339 to 795 of the family's 1533-position model. The record is from RNAcentral.